AGUGCGCCUUGUUUUAGAGAGAAGGCCGAAUGGCCUUUUCUUUUCAUUUUUCGAAAAGAGGCAGGGCCUUUUCUUCUUAUUUUUCUUAAUGAUUGUUAUAGAAAAUCUUUGAUCUACGAAUAUCCAACGGUCCGAUCUUCAAUCUGAUUUCGGUAACGUGAUCUACGAAACCCGAUCUACGUACUACCGAUUGGUUUGAGGAUUUGUUGUGGGGAGUUUGCUAAACACUCUCCAAGUGUUGAAUUUACAUUUGGUGAAAUUUUUGACGUUUAUACUUUGAUUGCAGGUUUUGCGAAUAUAGAUAUUGACUCGUCCACCUAGCACAUGGGAUGCUAUGAUUGGAGCAUAUCGCGAUAGUCAUAAGUCACGGACUCAUGGGUAGUCCGUAUUUUGGGUAUUUUAUUUAUGCCUCGUGUCCUACGUGGCACAUGUAUUUGUUGAACCUGUGUUAUGGUAUGUAAUUUUAUAAGCCUUAAAUAGAUAGACUUGUAAAUGGCUCUUGUUGUAAAUAACUGUCAUGUAUUAGAUGUAUUUCCGCUUAUGAUGUGUUCCGUUGCACAUUGAUUAUUUA
Molecule: long non-coding RNA, 571 nt
Organism: Alnus glutinosa
Lineage: Eukaryota; Viridiplantae; Streptophyta; Magnoliopsida; Fagales; Betulaceae
Exons: 3
Source: RefSeq, a predicted model, not a curated record